RNAcentral lists this ribosomal RNA (253 nucleotides) under uncultured bacterium. RNAcentral describes it as "partial 16S ribosomal RNA". It matches the Rfam family "Bacterial small subunit ribosomal RNA", at positions 524 to 776 of the family's 1533-position model. The record is from RNAcentral.
UACGUAGGGUGCGAGCGUUAAUCGGAAUUACUGGGUGUAAAGCGUGCGCAGGCGGUCUGUUAAGACCGAUGUGAAAUCCCCGGGCUCAACCUGGGAACUGCAUUUGUGACUGCAUCGCUGGAGUGCGGCAGAGGGGGAUGGAAUUCCGCGUGUAGCAGUGAAAUGCGUAGAUAUGCGGAGGAACACCGAUGGCGAAGGCAAUCCCCUGGGCCUGCACUGACGCUCAUGCACGAAAGCGUGGGGAGCAAACAGG